UCUGGGUUUGGCCAGUGUAGGCUGUCAUUGUAACUAAGAAUUUGUUCUAACUGACUUGCCUUGUUAAAUAAAAAAACAUAUUCAGCAGAAACAGGUACAGAACAACAUAAAUAUAGUCGGAUUUGUUUAAAAUAAUUGUCUGAAGUUGUCAUGUGUUCUGACUUCCAGCUCUAUGUGAGCCAGGUGGAGGCUUAUCUACAGAUGUGUGACUUCCAGUCUACAGCCAUCAGCUGCAGACAUGCCUGCCUCCUGGAGCCUCAGGCUAAGGCCCUCCACAAACCUCUGGCCUGCUGUGACUUUCUUAGAACAGUCUGGGAAAACAUUCAGACAUAAUGAUCAUCCCUACAGAGUCAAGCACGCACCCAGCACUAUUGAAUUACCUCUUGCUUUCACUUGAAAAAACUUUGUAAAAAUCUGAUAGCACCCUUUUUAUAUAUCUCAUCUGAAAACUGUUGUAAUUGUCUUGUUUAGAGAAUAGAGAUAAUAUUGAGUUUUGUCCACUUCACAGGGGAUGUUCCUGGAUGCUCUGGAGUUGUUUGCCAAGGCCUUGCUGCUGGUCAUAUCACAUGAUGAGGGGUAUUCUGUACCGCAGGCUGAAAGACUUCACUUCUGUCAUUGAGGACCUGGUCCUGGCUGUGGAGCUGAGUGAGGCUUGAGUCCAGGGGGCGGAGCCGAGCGGACACACCCAGGAAAAACUGAGGGCCGUGCAGGAGGAGGCCCAGGCCCAGCUGGUGCUCGCCUAUAACGACUUUGCCGUGCCGAGCUUCUUCCCAUAACUUCUACGCCGAGGAAACCAUGCUGCUCAGCAAGGCCGUCCGGGAGCAGAAGGAGGAAAGCGGCCUCCACAUUAACAGAGGAGCAGGACGAGUGGGAGUUUGCCCUGGCUGACUACCAGCAGGCGGAGGAGAUGUCUCCUGAUGACCAGGCCAUCUGGAUCCGCCUCGCUGUCAUCCUCAACACCCUGGGCACACACUGCUACCAGGACUGGUGAGUCUCAGUCUGUCAUCCAUAACACUGUGUAUUGUCUUCACCGCAGGAAGUACCAUGAGGCAGCUCUGACAAGUUCCUUGAGGCCAUCAAGUACAACCCUGGAGUCAGCCAGUACUAUGAGAACUGGGCCAAACCCCACCGUAAAGUGCCCAACGUGGAGGGGGCCAAGCAGGAUGCCAUCAGUACCCUUCUCCUGGACCCCACUAAU
Long non-coding RNA from Salvelinus namaycush (lake trout), 1198 nucleotides. RefSeq lists it as uncharacterized. The transcript is spliced from 3 exons. The record is from RefSeq and is a predicted model, not a curated record. Lineage: Eukaryota; Metazoa; Chordata; Actinopteri; Salmoniformes; Salmonidae.